This is a long non-coding RNA of Hyaena hyaena (striped hyena), 420 nucleotides long. RefSeq lists it as uncharacterized. The transcript is spliced from 3 exons. The record is from RefSeq and is a predicted model, not a curated record. Lineage: Eukaryota; Metazoa; Chordata; Mammalia; Carnivora; Hyaenidae.
UGCCCAUUUCCCAUCGGCACCCAAACCUAAAUAGGAUCCUGUACAGAUGAGCGGGAAGGAAGCACCAGGAAUCUCUCCCCGUGUGGACAACAACUUCACGGGCAGGAUCAGUCUUCAGGAACUGUUUUGCAACUCUGGAGUCUACUGAAGACUGGCAGUUCCCAGGAAUUCAAAGACAGACCUGAGCUGAAGCCAGGACAACAGAAAUUAACAAAACAGAAGAAAAAUGAGCAGAACCUGAAAGACCUUGGGGAACACCAUCUAAGGUAUAAAUGAAAGCAGUCUGGCGUUGAUAUGAAAACAGAUGCACAGCUCAGUGGAGCAGAGCAGAGCCCAGAAAUGAACCUGCACUAUCCGCUCGAUUAGUUUUCCAACAAAGGAGAGGGAAAGAACAAUGGGAAGAAGGCAGUCUCUUCAAUA